Molecule: non-coding RNA, 2390 nt
Organism: Doryrhamphus excisus (bluestripe pipefish)
Lineage: Eukaryota; Metazoa; Chordata; Actinopteri; Syngnathiformes; Syngnathidae
Source: RefSeq, a predicted model, not a curated record
AGCAACGUCAGCCUACGUCACAGUGACGUCACAGCCCAGGCUUGAAAGCGACAGCUGAGUGAAACCGGCGACUUCCAACUUUGUUUGUGAGUCUCUCCUCGUCGGCCCGGUUCCCGCUCCCGUCUUUGUGUGUCACAUUCGAAGUGGUCUGCCCCGGUUCAGUUCACCGGACCGACACCGUUUUUCACCGGUGAGCCGGUAAAGAAGUUUGGAGCAUCUGCUAAGUUAGCAGUGCUAACAGCGGUUAGCCUAGCUUAUUUUAGCCAGCUUGCUAAGGCUGCUGUCAAUUCGCCCGGGAUGAGAAGGCGAAUAUCCGGCUUCAGCGAACGUUAUCCGCGGGUGUUAAUCAUUUACUGAACCGAUGGCUGCGCAGUGAACCGACGUGAGCAGCGGACACCUCCACCAGCGAAGCCCGGGGGGUCAAGAUAAACUACGUAACGGUGAGGCUAACGGCGGCUAGCUAACGAGCGCAACUCCGAGCAGAGAAGAGAUGGCGAGCCAUACCGAAACCGGCUUCACCUGCCGGCCCGACCGUGACGGCGCAUCGGGCCCGGUGUCCCGCUCCGGUAACACUCGCCGCCUCCGGUGCGAGUCCGACGAGACGGACGGCGGUGCCCCCACCAUGAAGAGCCUGGCGCGGCUGUGCAGCAGGGACGAGGAGGAGAGGGCAGCGGCUCUGGAGGAGCUGAGCCAGGGGGUUCUGGUGUGUCUAGGACUGGACCGGCCCGGGUCGACGCGCUUGGGCAAGGAAACGCUCCUGCAUCUGCUCCGGCUCUCGUCGUCCUGUCCGUUAGCGGAGGUGCGAGUGAGAGCCACGGAGCUGCUGCGGGCUGCUCAGGAGCAAGGCCUUGAAGUUCCUCGCGCCCUGGCCUCCGGUCCCAGCGCCUUCAUUCCGGCCAAACAUAUACUGAAAGAAAGGCCUGACCAGGACAUUCUGAUCGAAUCCUUCCUCUCCCUGGGCCGUGUGGACCACGUCACCAUGGUGAUGGCGCUGCAUCCUGCCUACCUCAGCUGCUUCCUGAGGACCCAGCAUGCCUUGCUGGAGCUGGACGGCCCCUUACCCCGUCACUGGAGGCACUACAUCGCCGUCAUGGCGGCAGCCCGGCACCAUUGCCCCUACGUGGUGCAGCAGCACAGCACCAGCUUCCUGGAGGCCGGCGGAGACGAGAGCUGGCUGAGCGGCCUGCAGCACGCCCCCGCCAAACUGCGCAGCCUGCACCCCCUCAACAAGCUGCUGGCGCACAGACCCUGGCUCAUCACCCAGCUGCACAUCCAGGAUCUGGUGUAUCCCGGCGCCGAGCUUCGCUGGUCGCUGGCCGAGCUCAUUCACGCCGUCAUCCUCAUGGCGCACGCCCACUCGCUCUGCUCCUUCGUGUGGAGCUGCGGAAUCAACCCGGAGCCGGACCACGACUCGGGCCACACCUUCCAUCCGCCUUCGCCGGGACACCCGACUGGCAGCCCGCACAGCCCCGCCCACGAGGACGGCCGACAAGAGCUGGCGGACGGCGCCAUGGAGGUGGAGGUGCUCAUGAAGAGGAUGGUGGAGCUGCAGCAACAGGAAGAGGAGUGCACGCAGGAGGAGAUGGUGACCCGCUUCGAGAGGGAACGAAGCGAGAGCAUCCCGACAGUGGCGGUGCGAGGGGCGCCGCCGGAACCGCUGCUGCAUCUUCUGGAGGACCCCGAGUACAGGUACGAGGACUUUGCCCCCAAAGGAGAGCAAGCCCCGCCCACCAUGAGAGCUCAGGACUAUUCCUGGGAAGACCACGGCUACUCGCUGGUCAACAGGCUGCUGCCCGACAUGGGACAACUCCUGGACGAGAAAUUCCAGGUGGUGAGCAACCUGACCUACCACAGGAUGGCCAUGCACGAGGGCGUGGACACUCACACUCUGAGGAAGGCCCUGUGGAACUACAUCCACUGCCUCUACGGCAUACGAUACGACGACUACGACUACGGCAGCGUGAACGUGUUGCUGGAGCGCUCCUUGAAGAUGUUUGUCAAGACCAUGGCCUGCUACCCCGAGCAAAUCACCGCACGCGUCUACCAUGCCUUCUGGAGACACUUCCGACACUCCGAGAAGCGCGCGCGUCUGUCUUCCUUCCUCAGGGGUGGGCCAAGUGUACUUCCGGUCCAGGAGCGCGCUCACGCCGAAAAGUUGCGCAGCUGACUGAGCAAGUGGCAGCCGGCUUCCCUCACCCCCCCCAGGAGCCGUGACACCUCACACACAAGACGGCCUCCACUGUGGCGAUGGUGAUUGACAGGUGAUCUGACAGAGGAAGACAUCAGCAGACGCCGUCCGUCUCCCGGCUGCUUAUUAUGGGGUGUGCUUGCUGUAAGCAGAAGAAGUCCGCCAAGUUGGAAGCCGCCACGUUAGCCAUCGCCGGCGGCAA